UGGUGGAGUGAUUUGUCUGGUUAAUUCCGUUAACGAACGAGACCUCGACCUGCUAAAUAGUUCGGCGAACUCUUCGGGGUUCGUACGAUUACUUCUUAGAGGGACUAUUGCUGUGUAGGCAAUGGAAGUUCGAGGCAAUAACA
Molecule: ribosomal RNA, 143 nt
Filed under: uncultured eukaryote
Lineage: Eukaryota
Description: partial 18S ribosomal RNA
Rfam family: Eukaryotic small subunit ribosomal RNA
Source: RNAcentral